Molecule: long non-coding RNA, 150 nt
Organism: Wasmannia auropunctata (little fire ant)
Lineage: Eukaryota; Metazoa; Arthropoda; Insecta; Hymenoptera; Formicidae
Exons: 2
Source: RefSeq, a predicted model, not a curated record
GAAACGUUGGCAUUUAUCAAUGGAUCAAAAUACGAUGAAAAUCCAUACAUAGCUGUUUGCCCUUUGAAUCUACCGAGAGCCUUCUACAUGACUCCACAUGAAUCAUCAGGAGAUAAAGAAUCCUAUCCGUACAGAUUUACGGGGAAAAAA